GCUCGUCUCAAAGAUUAAGCCAUGCAUGUCUAAGUAUAAAAAGUUUACUUUGAAACUGCGAACGGCUCAUUAACCAGUUAUAGUUUAUUUGAUAUUUUUUCUCUACUGGGAUACCCGUAGUAAUUCUAGAGCUAAUACCUGCGCAACGUCCCGACUGCAAAGAAGGGAUGCGUUUAUUAGAUCGAAACCAAUGCAGGGAAACCUGCUUUUAGGUGAUUCACAAUAAGCAAGCAAAUCGCAUUGGCGCAAGCUAGGCGAUGAGUCAUUCAAGUUUCUGCCCUAUCAGCUGCGAUGGUACGGUAUUGGCC
RNAcentral lists this ribosomal RNA (308 nucleotides) under Blepharisma japonicum. RNAcentral's name for it is "partial Eukaryotic small subunit ribosomal RNA". It matches the Rfam family "Eukaryotic small subunit ribosomal RNA", at positions 30 to 341 of the family's 1831-position model. The record is from RNAcentral. Lineage: Eukaryota; Ciliophora; Heterotrichea; Heterotrichida; Blepharismidae.